GACGAACGCUGGCGGCGUGCUUAACACAUGCAAGUCGAACGGUAAGGCCCUUCGGGGUACACGAGUGGCGAACGGGUGAGUAACACGUGGGUGAUCUGCCCUGCACUUCGGGAUAAGCCUGGGAAACUGGGUCUAAUACCGGAUAGGACUCCGGACUGCAUGGUCUGGGGUGGAAAGCUUUUGCGGUGUGGGAUGGGCCCGCGGCCUAUCAGCUUGUUGGUGGGGUGAUGGCCUACCAAGGCGACGACGGGUAGCCGGCCUGAGAGGGUGACCGGCCACAGUGGGACUGAGAUACGGCCCAGACUCCUACGGGGGGCAGCAGUGGGGAAUAUUGCACAAGGGGCGCAAGCCUGAUGCAGCGACGCCGCGUGAGGGAUGACGGCCUUCGGGUUGUAAACCUCUUUCAGCAUCGACGAAGCGAAAGUGACGGUAGGUGCAGAAGAAGGACCGGCCAACUACGGGCCAGCAGCCGCGGUAA
Molecule: ribosomal RNA, 478 nt
Filed under: uncultured bacterium
Lineage: Bacteria
Description: partial 16S ribosomal RNA
Rfam family: Bacterial small subunit ribosomal RNA
Source: RNAcentral